RNAcentral lists this ribosomal RNA (465 nucleotides) under uncultured bacterium. RNAcentral describes it as "partial 16S ribosomal RNA". It matches the Rfam family "Bacterial small subunit ribosomal RNA", at positions 28 to 507 of the family's 1533-position model. The record is from RNAcentral.
GACGAACGCUGGCGGCGUGCUUAACACAUGCAAGUCGAACGGAAAGGCCCCUUUUGUGUUACUCGAGUGGCGAACGGGUGAGUAACACGUGAGUAACCUGCCCUUGACUUCGGUAUAACUUCAGGCAACUGGGGCUAAUACCAGAUAGGAAUCCUUGCUGCAUGGUGGGGGUUGGAAAGCUUCGGCGGUUUUGGAUGGACUCGCGGCUUAUCAGCUUGUUGGUGGGGUAGUGGCUUACCAAGGCUUUGACGGGUAGCCGGCCUGAGAGGGCGACCGGCCAACUUGGGACUGGGAUACGGCCCAGACUCCUACGGGAGGCAGCAGUGGGGAAUAUUGCACAAUGGGCGGAAGCCUGAUGCAGCAACGCCGCGUGCGGGAUGACGGCCUUCGGGUUGUAAACCGCUUUCAGCAGGGGCGAAGCUUGUGGUGACGGUACCUGCAGAAGAAGCACCGGCUAACUACGUG